Molecule: long non-coding RNA, 993 nt
Organism: Alligator mississippiensis (American alligator)
Lineage: Eukaryota; Metazoa; Chordata; Crocodylia; Alligatoridae
Exons: 2
Source: RefSeq, a predicted model, not a curated record
AUGAGGAGGUGACAAUUAUGAUGCUCUUGUUUCAGGUGUGAGGGAUGACGGUGUGGGUGCUGCAUACAGAAUAAUGAAAAAGCUGAAAACCUAGCUGGUGCUGAGGACUGGUUCCAUGCGUAGAUCUAUGACUUGAAAGAGUCUCCAAGCAGAGGUGACCCGAGCAGGGUACGGGGCCUGUGGCAAGUCAGCGAGUGGGGAUAGCGAGCGGCUGGACGUAGAGCUGCUGCUGCUCUGCCCGGCUCUGCAGGGCCCCCCAAAGCACGGGGCCUGGGGUGGUUACCCCAGUUCAUCCCCCCCCUAGGAAUGACCCCAUCUCCAAGGCUGUGGAAGAGAGAGAGAGAGAGAGACCAGGAGUAGCUAUCAGACAGCAAAAUUGCCAGAAGAAACAUUCACUUGAUUAGUGGAACACCAUGACUACUAAAAAGGAAAGAUGAUUGUUAGCACUGCUGAAGUGAAGAACAAUGAAUCAUUAAGACAACUGAUUCCCUCAGCUGCCUGAAUGAUAGUGCGACUCCUGCUCUACAGUGCAGCAGAUGACAAAAGUAGGGGGCUUCUAUCCCAAAUGAAAAUCGGAUUCCCUGCUUAAUACAAACACCCCAAUGUUAGGGGGGCUUUUUGUGGGGGGGAAAAGGGGCAUGUUACAUGUGAGAAAACAUGGUAUACUAUGUAUAUAGUUUCUGAUACAACAUGAAAAAUUACAGUUAAAGUGCACAUUCCUUCUGCAACCUGCCAAAAACAUUAUGCUACAGCAGAGUUAAAAGUUUCUGCAUACUGGGGCAAUAUUGCUACCUCCAACAGUAAUUAAUUAUUUUGGUAAGGUUAAUCUCAAACUUCCCAUUAUAAUAACAUCUUUUUGGUAUUGUACAAAUUGAGCCUGAUUUAGCCAUUCAGAAUGAAGUUUUCCAUGCUAGGUAUUUGCUUCAUGCUGAAAAGUACGUGUGUGUAAAAUUUCAGCUAAAACAGCAAAGAACUAAAUGUGGUAUGUAUUAA